RNAcentral lists this ribosomal RNA (406 nucleotides) under uncultured bacterium. RNAcentral's name for it is "partial 16S ribosomal RNA". It matches the Rfam family "Bacterial small subunit ribosomal RNA", at positions 30 to 526 of the family's 1533-position model. The record is from RNAcentral.
AUUGAACGCUGGCGGCAGGCCUAACACAUGCAAGUCGAGCGAGCGGAGGACGGGUGAGCAAUGUAUGUGGAUCUUCCUGAUGGCGGGGGAUAACUACUGGAAACUGUAGCUAAUACCGCCUACCUUCCCCUGAACCCAUAUGGGAUUAGCUAGUAGGUAGGGUAACGGCUUACCUAGGCGACGAUCCCUAGCGGGUCUGAGAGGAUGAUAAGCCACAAGGGGACUGAGAAACGGCCCAGACUCCUACGGGAGGCAGCAGUGGGGAAGAUUGCACAAUGGGCGAAAGCCUGAUGCAGCCAUGCCGCGUGUAUGAAGAAGGCCUUCGGGUUGUAAAGUACUUUAAGUCGGGAGGCGUUACCAACAGAAGAAGCACCGGCUAACUCCGUGCCAGCAGCCGCGGUAAUAC